GCCAGCAGCCAUAUCACCCUGCAACUCACCACUGGCAGCCCCACUGGAGCUCAGCGGGUGUGAGGCUGGUCGGUACCUGGAUGGGAGACCUCCUGGGAAAAACUAAGGUUGCUGCUGGAA
Molecule: ribosomal RNA, 120 nt
Filed under: Lepisosteus oculatus (spotted gar)
Lineage: Eukaryota; Metazoa; Chordata; Actinopteri; Semionotiformes; Lepisosteidae
Source: RNAcentral